Molecule: transfer RNA, 60 nt
Filed under: Proasellus coxalis
Lineage: Eukaryota; Metazoa; Arthropoda; Malacostraca; Isopoda; Asellidae
Description: transfert RNA-C(GTA)
Rfam family: tRNA
About the family: Transfer RNA (tRNA) molecules are approximately 80 nucleotides in length.
Source: RNAcentral
UAAGCUGUAGUUUAACAAAAACAUUUAACUUACAAUUAAAAAUUACCCGUGUCAGCUUAA